GCGCCCGUAGCGCAACUGGAUAGAGCAUCAGUCUUCGGAACUGAGGGUUGGGGGUUCAAAUCCCUCCGGGCGCA
Molecule: transfer RNA, 74 nt
Rfam family: tRNA
About the family: Transfer RNA (tRNA) molecules are approximately 80 nucleotides in length. Their secondary structure includes four short double-helical elements and three loops (D, anti-codon, and T loops).